Molecule: ribosomal RNA, 831 nt
Filed under: Clostridioides difficile
Lineage: Bacteria; Bacillati; Bacillota; Clostridia; Peptostreptococcales; Peptostreptococcaceae
Description: partial 23S ribosomal RNA
Rfam family: Bacterial large subunit ribosomal RNA
Source: RNAcentral
ACGAAGAGGUAUCGUAAUUGAAGAGGUUUGGAAAGACCCACCACAGAAGGUAAUAGUCCUGUAUGUUAAACGAGAAGACUUCAGAUAUGAUCCAGAGUACCACGGGACACGUGAAACCCUGUGGGAAGCAGGAGGGACCACCCUCCAAGGCUAAAUACUACCUAGUGACCGAUAGCGUAUAGUACCGUGAGGGAAAGGUGAAAAGAACCCCGGGAGGGGAGUGAAAUAGAACCUGAAACCCUGCACUUACAAGCUGUGGAAGCACAUUUCUUGUGUGACCGCGUACUUUUUGUAGAACGGGCCAACGAGUUACGUUAAGUAGCAAGGUUAAGCACUUAAGGUGCGGAGCCGUAGCGAAAGCGAGUUUUAACUGAGCGUUCAGUUACUUGACGUAGACCCGAAACCGGGCGACCUACCCAUGAGCAGGAUGAAGCGAAAGUAAAAUUUCGUGGAGGUCCGAACCCACGAGCGUUGAAAAGCUCGGGGAUGACUUGUGGGUAGCGGUGAAAUUCCAAUCGAGCCCGGAGAUAGCUGGUUCUCCCCGAAAUAGCUUUAGGGCUAGCCUCAAGGUGAGAGAUACGGAGGUAGAGCACUGAAUGUCCUAGGGGGUAUUGCACCUACCGAAGACUAUCAAACUCCGAAUGCCGUCAUCUUAUACUUGGGAGUCAGACUGUGGGUGAUAAGAUUCAUAGUCGAAAGGGCAACAGCCCAGAUCGUCAGCUAAGGUCCCUAAAUGUAAGUUAAGUGGUAAAGGAUGUGGGAUUGCACAGACAACCAGGAUGUUGGCUUAGAAGCAGCCACUCAUUCAAAGAGUGCGUAAUAGCUCACUGG